Molecule: ribosomal RNA, 1444 nt
Filed under: uncultured organism
Description: SSU rRNA
Rfam family: Bacterial small subunit ribosomal RNA
Source: RNAcentral
ACGCUAGCUACAGGCUUAACACAUGCAAGUCGAGGGGCAGCAUGGUCUUAGCUUGCUAAGGCCGAUGGCGACCGGCGCACGGGUGAGUAACACGUAUCCAACCUGCCGUCUACUCUUGGACAGCCUUCUGAAAGGACGAUUAAUACAAGAUGGCAUCAUGAGUCCGCAUGUUCACAUGAUUAAAGGUAUUCCGGUAGACGAUGGGGAUGCGUUCCAUUAGAUAGUAGGCGGGGUAACGGCCCACCUAGUCUUCGAUGGAUAGGGGUUCUGAGAGGAAGGUCCCCCACAUUGGAACUGAGACACGGUCCAAACUCCUACGGGAGGCAGCAGUGAGGAAUAUUGGUCAAUGGGCGAGAGCCUGAACCAGCCAAGUAGCGUGAAGGAUGACUGCCCUAUGGGUUGUAAACUUCUUUUAUAAAGGAAUAAAGUCGGGUAUGGAUACCCGUUUGCAUGUACUUUAUGAAUAAGGAUCGGCUAACUCCGUGCCAGCAGCCGCGGUAAUACGGAGGAUCCGAGCGUUAUCCGGAUUUAUUGGGUUUAAAGGGAGCGUAGAUGGAUGUUUAAGUCAGUUGUGAAAGUUUGCGGCUCAACCGUAAAAUUGCAGUUGAUACUGGAUAUCUUGAGUGCAGUUGAGGCAGGCGGAAUUCGUGGUGUAGCGGUGAAAUGCUUAGAUAUCACGAAGAACUCCGAUUGCGAAGGCAGCCUGCUAAGCUGCAACUGACAUUGAGGCUCGAAAGUGUGGGUAUCAAACAGGAUUAGAUACCCUGGUAGUCCACACGGUAAACGAUGAAUACUCGCUGUUUGCGAUAUACAGCAAGCGGCCAAGCGAAAGCGUUAAGUAUUCCACCUGGGGAGUACGCCGGCAACGGUGAAACUCAAAGGAAUUGACGGGGGCCCGCACAAGCGGAGGAACAUGUGGUUUAAUUCGAUGAUACGCGAGGAACCUUACCCGGGCUUAAAUUGCAGAUGAAUUACGGUGAAAGCCGUAAGCCGCAAGGCAUCUGUGAAGGUGCUGCAUGGUUGUCGUCAGCUCGUGCCGUGAGGUGUCGGCUUAAGUGCCAUAACGAGCGCAACCCUUGUUGUCAGUUACUAACAGGUCAUGCUGAGGACUCUGACAAGACUGCCAUCGUAAGAUGUGAGGAAGGUGGGGAUGACGUCAAAUCAGCACGGCCCUUACGUCCGGGGCUACACACGUGUUACAAUGGGGGGUACAGAGGGCCGCUACCACGCGAGUGGAUGCCAAUCCCAAAAACCUCUCUCAGUUCGGACUGGAGUCUGCAACCCGACUCCACGAAGCUGGAUUCGCUAGUAAUCGCGCAUCAGCCACGGCGCGGUGAAUACGUUCCCGGGCCUUGUACACACCGCCCGUCAAGCCAUGGGAGCCGGGGGUACCUGAAGUGCGUAACCGCGAGGAGCGCCCUAGGGUAAAACUGGUGACUGGGGC